GCUCAGAUUGAACGCUGGCGGCAGGCCUAACACAUGCAAGUCGAGCGGUAACACAGGAGAGCUUGCUCUCUGGGUGACGAGCGGCGGACGGGUGAGUAAUGUCUGGGAAACUGCCCGAUGGAGGGGGAUAACUACUGGAAACGGUAGCUAAUACCGCAUAACGUCUUCGGACCAAAGAGGGGGACCUUCGGGCCUCUUGCCAUCGGAUGUGCCCAGAUGGGAUUAGCUAGUAGGUGGGGUAAUGGCUCACCUAGGCGACGAUCCCUAGCUGGUCUGAGAGGAUGACCAGCCACACUGGAACUGAGACACGGUCCAGACUCCUACGGGAGGCAGCAGUGGGGAAUAUUGCACAAUGGGCGCAAGCCUGAUGCAGCCAUGCCGCGUGUAUGAAGAAGGCCUUCGGGUUGUAAAGUACUUUCAGCGAGGAGGAAGGCGUUGCGGUUAAUAACCGCAGCGAUUGACGUUACUCGCAGAAGAAGCACCGGCUAACUCCGUGCCAGCAGCCGCGGUAAUACGGAGGGUGCAAGCGUUAAUCGGAAUUACUGGGCGUAAAGCGCACGCAGGCGGUCUGUCAAGUCGGAUGUGAAAUCCCCGGGCUCAACCUGGGAACUGCAUUCGAAACUGGCAGGCUAGAGUCUUGUAGAGGGGGGUAGAAUUCCAGGUGUAGCGGUGAAAUGCGUAGAGAUCUGGAGGAAUACCGGUGGCGAAGGCGGCCCCCUGGACA
RNAcentral lists this ribosomal RNA (724 nucleotides) under Buttiauxella sp. 110518_136_C_H4. Its description in RNAcentral is "bacterial SSU rRNA". It matches the Rfam family "Bacterial small subunit ribosomal RNA", at positions 22 to 735 of the family's 1533-position model. Lineage: Bacteria; Pseudomonadati; Pseudomonadota; Gammaproteobacteria; Enterobacterales; Enterobacteriaceae. The record is from RNAcentral.